AAAUUGAAGAGUUUGAUCAUGGCUCAGAUUGAACGCUGGCGGCAGGCCUAACACAUGCAAGUCGAACGGUAACAGGAAGCAGCUUGCUGCUUCGCUGACGAGUGGCGGACGGGUGAGUAAUGUCUGGGAAACUGCCUGAUGGAGGGGGAUAACUACUGGAAACGGUGGCUAAUACCGCAUAACGUCGCAAGACCAAAGAGGGGGACCUUCGGGCCUCUUGCCAUCAGAUGUGCCCAGAUGGGAUUAGCUUGUUGGUGAGGUAACGGCUCACCAAGGCGACGAUCCCUAGCUGGUCUGAGAGGAUGACCAGCCACACUGGAACUGAGACACGGCCCAGACUCCUACGGGAGGCAGCAGUGGGGAAUAUUGCACAAUGGGCGCAAGCCUGAUGCAGCCAUGCCGCGUGUAUGAAGAAGGCCUUCGGGUUGUAAAGUACUUUCAGCGGGGAGGAAGGUGUUG
This 459-nucleotide ribosomal RNA is filed under the name Salmonella enterica. Its description in RNAcentral is "bacterial SSU rRNA". It matches the Rfam family "Bacterial small subunit ribosomal RNA", at positions 1 to 456 of the family's 1533-position model. The record is from RNAcentral. RNAcentral also lists the same sequence under 4 other names. Lineage: Bacteria; Pseudomonadati; Pseudomonadota; Gammaproteobacteria; Enterobacterales; Enterobacteriaceae.